The submitters of this non-coding RNA (87 nucleotides) gave its source as unclassified sequences. The record is from Rfam.
CAACAACGCGCAUGCAUGGACGCAUGGGCGAGGUGUUAUGCGCCAUGGACGGCGCAUAAAAGCCGGUUGUGUCAAAAAGCCACAACC